AUUGAACGAUGUCGGCAGGCCUAACACAUGCAAGUAGAACGAGUGGCGGACGGGUGAGUAAUGUAUGGGAAACUGCCCGAUGGAGGGGGAUAACUACUGGAAACGGUAGCUAAUACCGCAUCCCAUAGGCUGUGCCAAGAUGGGAGUAGCUAGUAGGUGGGGUAACGGCUCACCUAGGCGACGAUACCUAGCUGGUCUGAGCGGAUGACCAGCCACACUGGAACUGAGACACGGUCCAGACUCCUACGGGAGGCAGCAGUGGGGAAUAUUGCACAAUGGGCGCAAGCCGGAUACAGCCAUGCCGCGUGUAUGAAGAAGGCCUUCGGGUUGUAAAGUACUUUCAGCGAGGAGGCGUUACUCGCAGAAGAAGCACCGGCUAACUCCGUGCCAGCAGCCGCGGUAAUUC
RNAcentral lists this ribosomal RNA (406 nucleotides) under uncultured bacterium. RNAcentral describes it as "partial 16S ribosomal RNA". It matches the Rfam family "Bacterial small subunit ribosomal RNA", at positions 30 to 526 of the family's 1533-position model. The record is from RNAcentral.